AAAACUGUUCUCUUUUAUAACAGUCCAUUUCUGACUCACAGCAGAGAACAAACCCCCACUCCGUUGUAUUUGGAGACUGGCCUCCCUGUGAAUGUGGUAGCUUCCUUUAUUACUCAGUGGCCAGCUCACUUAGGGCUGAGAUGAAGGAGAGGACUACUUGAAGCUACUGCGUGCUUUUGUUUGUGUCUGAGUGGCAUUAAGAUGAAGUCUGGAGGAGCUAAGAGAAGGACAUAGGCGAGGUUCAACAGCCUUCCAAGGUACAGGAAGGUGGAUGAUGAGGACGAAGGCUGACUGACUAGGUUUUAAGGUUUUUUGUU
Long non-coding RNA from Sapajus apella (tufted capuchin), 317 nucleotides. RefSeq lists it as uncharacterized. Lineage: Eukaryota; Metazoa; Chordata; Mammalia; Primates; Cebidae. The transcript is spliced from 3 exons. The record is from RefSeq and is a predicted model, not a curated record.